Fundulus heteroclitus (mummichog) is the source of this 203-nucleotide long non-coding RNA. RefSeq lists it as uncharacterized. Lineage: Eukaryota; Metazoa; Chordata; Actinopteri; Cyprinodontiformes; Fundulidae. The record is from RefSeq and is a predicted model, not a curated record. The transcript is spliced from 3 exons.
UGAAAGACUGAAAUUUAUCUCAGACCAAUUCUUCCUGUGGUGGCCAGUACACUGUUUGAUUCCCCUCCCUGCUUGAGGCACUACACAGAGCUCAGGGACGCUGCUGUUUGUCCUUGGCUGGCUGUUUGCCAGACUGUUACUCCGAGCUGCCGCUCGCCUGCUACCUUGAGUAUCCAUCGUCUGCGGACUACCUGUCAACCUGG